AUUGAACGCUGGCGGCAGGCCUAACACAUGCAAGUCGAACGGUAGCACAGAGAGCUUGCUCUCGGGUGACGAGUGGCGGACGGGUGAGUAACGUCUGGGAAACUGCCCGAUGGAGGGGGAUAACUACUGGAAACGGUAGCUAAUACCGCAUAACGUCGCAAGACCAAAGUGGGGGACCUUCGGGCCUCACACCAUCGGAUGUGCCAGAUGGGAUUAGCUAGUAGGUGGGGUAAUGGCUCACCUAGGCGACGAUCCCUAGCUGGUCUGAGAGGAUGACCAGCCACACUGGAACUGAGACACGGUCCAGACUCCUACGGGAGGCAGCAGUGGGGAAUAUUGCACAAUGGGCGCAAGCCUGAUGCAGCCAUGCCGCGUGUAUGAAGAAGGCCUUCGGGUUGUAAAGUACUUUCAGCGGGGAGGAAGGCGGUGAAGUUAAUAGCUUCACCGAUUGGCGUUACCCGCAGAAGAAGCACCGGCUAACUCCGUGCCAGCAGCCGCGGUAA
This 503-nucleotide ribosomal RNA is filed under the name uncultured bacterium. RNAcentral describes it as "partial 16S ribosomal RNA". It matches the Rfam family "Bacterial small subunit ribosomal RNA", at positions 29 to 523 of the family's 1533-position model. The record is from RNAcentral.